Molecule: transfer RNA, 76 nt
Filed under: Paracoccus jeotgali
Lineage: Bacteria; Pseudomonadati; Pseudomonadota; Alphaproteobacteria; Rhodobacterales; Paracoccaceae
Description: tRNA-Thr
Rfam family: tRNA
About the family: Transfer RNA (tRNA) molecules are approximately 80 nucleotides in length.
Source: RNAcentral
GCCGGAUUAGCUCAUCUGGUAGAGCGCGGGCUUUGUAACCCCGAGGCGACCCGUUCGAGUCGGGUAUCCGGCACCA